UCUCUCAAUCUCCGUCCCUCCCUCUCGCUCUCCUUCAUUCCUGCAUGCACACACACACAUACACACAUAUACACACACACACAGCUACACACACACACGAUGACUGAUGCCUUCUCCCUCCUCUUCGUGCGUUCUCCGUUUUCUCAGCUCUCUGUGGCACCUCUGAGACUUUUGGCUUUUUGUCCUCUGGUUAAAACCGUGCGGUGGAAGCCGUUCUGCACAGCUCCAGCACCAUGCUGUCCCAGCUACAAACUGAGAAGCAGCCGCAGCAGGAGCGGAUCAGCCUGCCUCUCACUUUACUGCCUGUGACUUUGUCGGCCGCCUUUCCGUCCUGCACUUUUUCCUCCUCAUGACGAGGUGAGACAACAGUGGAUAAAAUGUGAUGAGGCUGGAGUGACAUAGAGAUGCAGGGCUGCAAGUCAAGAGGCAAAGCACUAAGUCGAGAGUGAGGAUGAGGGAACAGAGAGGAAGAUUCAAGUUGGAAAAUAUACGUGGGAAAAGUUACUUUUUGGUUCGAGUCUAAAGGAAGAUCCAGAACACGUCGACAUGACAGCAAUCUCAAGCUCUGUGUGUUUGUGACAACAGCCCUGCAGAGACAAAAGGUGAAGCGUUGUAUAGGUGCUGCUGUUAGUCAGGCAGGUAGGCAGUGAGAAGAAGAAUAAUGGAAUCAAUACUAUUGUCUGUAACCUACCUGCCGCUGGGCUCCCUGUCUGGCCCCGACAGAGACCAUCAGAAAGAGAGGGAGCUGAGAGGAAACACAGAAGCACUCUGACUGGGGGAAGAAAAGGAAAGAAGAGGCUGAGUGUAAGUUAUUCCAGUCAUUCCGGCUGUUCCCUGUGGUCUGCCCCAGCUGCAACUGUUAACAAAGAAAGCCUCAAAAAUCGCAGCUCUGUGUCCCAAAAUGUGAAGGCCUGACGCUUAUAAAGUUAACCUGUAGGUAAUUCGUGAUGCAUUAAUAUGCAUUAAUGCAGUUCAGUUUAAUGCAGCAAACUGAUGUGGACACAUUGCGGCUUUUUAUUUUCAAAUUCAUGCAAAUGUUUUAAAACAAGAUGGAAACAUUAUUUCUCCACAGAUGAGCUAUGAAAUACAAAUAUUUCCAAUUUCGUUUUUAAUUGUAUGGUCAUAUGCAGUCUUCCCCAGUCAGUGUGUGUCAUUCUGUCUGUCUACCAGUGGGUGGCGUUGCCUUCUAAUACUUCUACGCAAUGACAUUUCUUUCUUUCUUUGAAGUGUUUUAUAGUGAUAUCACCACAGUGACCAAGCAGUGCAAUUAUGUUAUGUCAUCUACAGGUGGAUUGAUAAUUUGCAUGCCGCCCGUGUCCUGCUGGGGUUCUUCUUUUUUCUUCAUAAUCUUUGAAAACUAAUUUCUUCUUUUGCUGGUAAGUUAGAAGACAGACGCUGCCCUGCGUUCAGAAAUGGAUGGACAAAACACAGUGCAACGCCGUAAUGAUGAGAACUGCACGGAGACGUUGUCGAUCCUGAAAGACGCUUUGAAAUGAAAAAGUCUCAGACUGGAUGGAGUAAUCUGAAGUCCUCUUUACAGCGAGUUGUGGAAAAUGUAACUUUCGUACCGCCACAGUUACUGAGAACAAAAAGAAAAGGUGACCUAUGCAAAGUCUGCAUACAUAUUUAAAUGAUUAUUUGUCAGCUUUGACAACUUUAAGAUUUCAGUGUAUGUGUGUUAAGUUCCAGCGUGUAAAAGGUCUAGUAACAUAUUUCACAUGAGCACAAAUUGAUUUUUAAAACCUCUUCAGCUCAGUGGGCUCAGAAAAGCUAUUAGAAACUGUAAUUUGUCCACGCUAGCUCAGAAAUUAUGUCCAAAACUCCUGUGGCAUUCACCAACAGUUUAAAAUUAAUUGUUUCCCCUAAAUUAAUUGUGUCUCCUCCACAAUGAGCUCUCAGCGGCUGCGUUUCUGAGAUUAUGUGUGCCUGCUGUGAAAAAUGUUACUUUAUAUCUGAUUUGAUGCACUGCAGAACAAAAAGAUUAGCAUGGAUAAAACGUGGACAAAUCUGUCAUGAUUAUGCGCCGAUUACGCUUUAAUUGAACUGAUCAGCUUUGCUUCUAAUCUGCAGCAAACCAGGAGCCCGGUUGGUGCCGCAGAAUCCAAAUGUCAGAUGAGGUCAUUUCUUUGUCUCGGUGCAGUGACUCUGCAGUUCUCUCAUUUAACUCGAAUGAGUUUAAACUCAUUUAAACUCCGUUUUGGCAUUUUUGUAUAACAACUGGCUCCGUCUUUACACCCUCUCAGUGUAUUUUAAUUUUACAGUAUGCCCCUCUGUCCCUGAGACCCUUAACCUGUGAGGUCAAAGCAGGUCACAGGUGAGGUCCUCGGGAACAGGGCUGCAUUCAGUUUCAACAUCCUGUAGAGGAGGGGAUCAUUUUAGCAAAUAUAUUCAACAUGAUACACUCCUUCUCUUCUACAAAGUAUAUCUGAUACCACUUGCAGUUAAAGUGGUUUCUUUAAAAGCACUUUAAGUGCAAGAAAAGUGACAGGCGAUACCUGUCACUGUUUCUUCUGGAUUUCAUGCAUCUCACUAUCUGUAAGUGACCGUCAAGACUUUUCAGGUUGAAGAAGAGAAUGGCUGCUUGUCCUGCAGCACAGACCGUCUCAGGGAGCCAACCCUUCUGGCUGACUUUGUGUUACAGACCCCAGUUGGGGUGCAAAAUAAGAAGACAGCCAAGGGUUGUGACCCCGGCAUAUAUGACAUCUUCAAAAAUCUGUGGCGUCAUUUAUUUUUUUUUGAUCAUGUACAAGUUUUCAUACUUUCCUGUUUGUUUGUUUUUUAACAAUUGUAUGUUAAUAAAAUGUGAAAACGUACUCUGUGUAAUUCUUUUUUUAAAUAAAAGAUGUUAUUGGAUGAUUAAAAAAAAUGCA
Molecule: long non-coding RNA, 2870 nt
Organism: Oreochromis niloticus (Nile tilapia)
Lineage: Eukaryota; Metazoa; Chordata; Actinopteri; Cichliformes; Cichlidae
Exons: 5
Source: RefSeq, a predicted model, not a curated record